Molecule: long non-coding RNA, 1842 nt
Organism: Lycium barbarum (goji berry)
Lineage: Eukaryota; Viridiplantae; Streptophyta; Magnoliopsida; Solanales; Solanaceae
Exons: 4
Source: RefSeq, a predicted model, not a curated record
UAUUAACGACACAUGAACAUUAGCCGAUGAAAGAAAUAGUUUUACCGAUAAUAGAAAUAAUUUUCCACUAAAAAUCGCUAAUUGAAACCAAUCUUAUCAUUUUACCUUUCCCUCCAAUUCUUUUUCAUAACAUUUUGAUAUUCCCUCCACUUAUUAAGAAAAAAUAAAAGGAAAACCUAGCCCAAAAUUCAAUUUUAGCUGCGCAUCGUAGACUAAAGCAACUGUUCUCUCUCUGAAACUCACGGUCGCCGCAGCUGUUCUCUCUCUGAAACUGAGGUCGCCGACCAGCCAUCUUCUUUGCAACAAUGUUGAUUUUGGGUUUCAAGAUUGUUGCUGACAUCAGUCUUCUCCUUCACUUUUUUGUCUUCAUCGGCAAAAUAUUCUGCUUCUCAGAUGAUAUCUUUGAGCUAUGCAGUCAGAAUUACUCCAAAUGAGACAAUUAAUGCGCAAAUGUGCUCCCUUUGAAUCUACGCCUUAAGAUAUCAAUGGCACCUCAAGUGAACAGGUCCCUGAUGCCAACAGUGGCCAUGAACGAGUACCACAAACAUCAAGGAUGCCUAAUGUUGCUGAAAAUACUCAACCUGCUCACGGUACUACUCAUCUAUAUCCUUAGGCUCCUCAAGGCAUUUCUCAAUAUCUUUGUUAAUCUAGAAAAGUAUUGGUUUUGCCAAAAAUGCAUGGAUAUUUUGUACGUGCUGUCUAUCCUCACAGUAUUCUUCUUUACUUGCUUUUCAACUUCUGCCUCCUCCUACACCAUUUCCCUCCAAACUCAGCCGUGAGAACUUCUGCCAUAUUGCUGCUUUGGCACUUGACAAGGGAUGAAAAGGCCAUAUUGCUGCUUUGUAGAAGUUUCCGACUCAUGGUUUUCCUAAAAACAUAUUAAUGGAGAGUUCUACCGAGGGCUGGAUCCUAUAACGUAGUCAAUUGCGAACAAUGCAGCUGAUGGUUGUUUUAUGGAUACUUGAUUUUAAUAGAACGUAAUCUAUUAAGAAAAUGGAGAGUUAGUAGGAUUUUGAAUUUGACAAAUUUCACGUUAUAUUAGAUGUAGAUGUACAAUUUUUUUUUUAUUUUUUUUGCAUAGAUUUCAUCUUUUGACAUUCACUAUCUUAUUAUUUCAGGUCAUACAGUAUGAUGUUCAAAUAGCAUAUGGAAGAUUUCAAUACUAUGAAGAGUUGCUGGAAUUGUUUGAGGACUAUGCAUUUAGAAACUUAUUAUUGUUGGUAUUCGAUAGGAAUUAGUUACAUUGACAUUAGCUAUUUAGUUUAAGCAUGUGAUUUUAUCUUUUAGUUCGUUGAGACAUUAAUAAUUAGUAUUUGCUUUUGUUUCUUUAGAUUUAAUGAAAUGUAUUGUACUUUUAUAAAUUAAUAAUAGUAUGUUUAAUUAGCAUUUUGCAUUAUAAUUGUUGUUAAAUAUGUCUAAUUAUACUUGAUUUUGUAUUUUUUAUUGCAUUUAAGAACGAAUUUAGUGGCCAUUAUAAUUGUCACUAUGCAAUAGUGGUUAAAGCAGGUAACUUCUAGCGGCAAUAAAAAGACGCUAAAAGUAUUGCAUUAGUCAUUUUGAGAAUGAAUAUUGCAUCAAUUAUAAUUGCCGCUACACAAUGACCGUUAAAAUAUGUCCCUUUUAGUGGCAAUUUAAUUGGAUUUAGUGGCAAUUUAGUUAGAUACUAAAAGUUGGACUCAAUUAUUUUGGAAAUGGAUUUAGCGGCCUUUACAAUUGCCGCUGAACAAUUGUCGUUGAAGCCUAUGGCCUUUAGCGGCAAUAAAAACAAUCUUUACCGGCACUCUGCUUAAUUGCCGCUAAAACCUUUAGCGACGCCACAUACAGCGGCAAAAGUCUAAUGGC